GACGAACGCUGGCGGCGUGCUUAACACAUGCAAGUCGAACGGAAAGGCCCUGCUUUUGUGGGGUGCUCGAGUGGCGAACGGGUGAGUAACACGUGAGUAACCUGCCCUUGACUUUGGGAUAACUUCAGGAAACUGGGGCUAAUACCGGAUAGGAGCUCCUGCUGCAUGGUGGGGGUUGGAAAGUGUCGGCGGUUGGGGAUGGACUCGCGGCUUCUCAGCUUGUUGGUGGGGUAGUGGCUUACCAAGGCUUUGACGGGUAGCCGGCCUGAGAGGGUGACCGGCCACAUUGGGCCUGAGAUACGGCCCAGACUCCUACGGGCGGCAGCAGUGGGGAAUAUUGCACAGUGGGCGGAAGCCUGAUGCAGCAACGCCGCGUUCGGGAUGACGGCCUUCGGGUUGUAAACCGCUUUCGCCUGUAACGAGGCGUGAGUGACGGUAAUGGGUAAAGAAGCACCGGCUAACUACGUG
This 468-nucleotide ribosomal RNA is filed under the name uncultured bacterium. RNAcentral's name for it is "partial 16S ribosomal RNA". It matches the Rfam family "Bacterial small subunit ribosomal RNA", at positions 28 to 507 of the family's 1533-position model. The record is from RNAcentral.